GCCAAGUGUGGUGGCAAACAUCUGUAAUCCCAGCAGCUUGGGAGGCUGAGGCAGGGGGAUCACAAGUUCAAAGCCAGCCUCAGCCAAAGUGAGGUGCUAAGCAACUCAGUGAGACCCUGUCUCUA
Molecule: small RNA, 125 nt
Filed under: Marmota monax (woodchuck)
Lineage: Eukaryota; Metazoa; Chordata; Mammalia; Rodentia; Sciuridae
Source: RNAcentral